GACGAACGCUGGCGGCGUGCUUUACACAUGCAAGUCGAACGGUGAAGGUGGAGCUUGCUCCGCCGGAUCAGUGGCGAACGGGUGAGUAACACGUGGGCAACCUGCCCCUAACUUUGGGAUAACUACUCGAAAGAGUAGCUAAUACCGGAUAUGAAGUCUGUAGGCAUCUAUGGAUUUGGAAAGUUUUUCGGUUAGGGAUGGGCCCGCGGCCUAUCAGCUUGUUGGUGAGGUAGUGGCUCACCAAGGCGACGACGGGUAGCCGGCCUGAGAGGGCGACCGGCCACACUGGGACUGAGACACGGCCCAGACUCCUACGGGGGGCAGCAGUGGGGAAUAUUGCGCAAUGGGCGAAAGCCUGACGCAGCAACGCCGCGUGCGGGAUGAAGGCCUUCGGGUUGUAAACCGCUUUCAGCAGGGAAGAAGCGAAAGUGACGGUACCUGCAGAAGAAGCACCGGCUAACUACGUGCCAGCCGCCGCGGUAA
Molecule: ribosomal RNA, 483 nt
Filed under: uncultured bacterium
Lineage: Bacteria
Description: partial 16S ribosomal RNA
Rfam family: Bacterial small subunit ribosomal RNA
Source: RNAcentral